This is a long non-coding RNA of Arachis ipaensis, 808 nucleotides long. RefSeq lists it as uncharacterized. The record is from RefSeq and is a predicted model, not a curated record. NCBI's taxonomy places the organism in Eukaryota, Viridiplantae, Streptophyta, Magnoliopsida, Fabales, Fabaceae.
UAUUGAGCAAACCAUUUGUUAGCUAGGUUGUUAGUUUCUUUUGGGAGGUAAUAGUUGUAUGAUUGCAUUAAACAAGUAGGAAAAUAAAGGUGGAAACAAAAGCAGGUGCAGGUGAUGAUAUAAUAAUAAGACAUCAUAGUGUCCUAUAUCCCAACAAAUAACAAAGCAUCAAAAAGUGUUGUCAUGCUGGACAAAAAGCUCUUCCUGGCGUGUCAUUCAUAUAUAACCUUGCUUAUUGUUGGUGUUUGCCAUCUCUAGCUAUGUACCACUUGACUCAAAUGACAAGCAAGGGAGCAGCUAGCUGCUAUGCAUAUGAAGAAUGUUGAUGAGGGAGAAUUAUUAGUUGCGGCAUACAAGUGAAAUGGGAGCUGUUUCUUCAAUGCUUCUGGUUCUUCUGAUAUUGUGCAGUUCUGGUUUUGGUGGCAUAGCAUUUGGUUUGUUGAAUUUCAGCAGCAACAGUAGAGCUGGUUCAUCUUCAUCACCUAACAAUGAGGUGGUGUCUUCUGGGAACGGGAAAGGAGCAGAGUUAGAAGAGAAGAGGGGUGUGCCAUCGGGAGCUAAUCCUCUCCAUAAUCGCCGGUAGAAGCUAAUUAAGUGAUCGGGACCACACAGACUUCAAAGAAGAAACUAAAGGAAUCUAUCUAUCUAUAUGUCUGCUAUUCAUUUUAAUUAAUAGGAUGUUGUUAUUAUCUGAGAACAUGCCAAAAAAGUAUCCCCGUAUAUAAAACUUUGAUUGAUCUGACAUGUUUGUGCAUGAGCUGUCUCUUGGUUUGGUAACACCUCCUAAUGGAUGCCCUACAUUGCAUGC